RNAcentral lists this ribosomal RNA (1343 nucleotides) under uncultured bacterium. RNAcentral's name for it is "16S ribosomal RNA". It matches the Rfam family "Bacterial small subunit ribosomal RNA", at positions 28 to 1378 of the family's 1533-position model. The record is from RNAcentral.
GACGAACGCUGGCGGCGUGCUUAACACAUGCAAGUCGAACGGAAAGGCCCUGCUUUUGUGGGGUGCUCGAGUGGCGAACGGGUGAGUAACACGUGAGUAACCUGCCCUUGACUUUGGGAUAACUUCAGGAAACUGGGGCUAAUACCGGAUAGGAGCUCCUGCUGCAUGGUGGGGGUUGGAAAGUUUCGGCGGUUGGGGAUGGACUCGCGGCUUAUCAGCUUGUUGGUGGGGUAGUGGCUUACCAAGGCUUUGACGGGUAGCCGGCCUGAGGGGGUGACCGGCCACAUUGGGACUGAGAUACGGCCCAGACUCCUACGGGAGGCAGCAGUGGGGAAUAUUGCACAAUGGGCGGAAGCCUAAUGCAGCAACGCCGCGUGCGGGAUGACGGCCUUCGGGUUGUAAACCGCUUUCGCCUGUGACGAAGCGUGAGUGACGGUAAUGGGUAAAGAAGCACCGGCUAACUACGUGCCAGCAGCCGCGGUGAUACGUAGGGUGCGAGCGUUGUCCGGAUUUAUUGGGCGUAAAGGGCUCGUAGGUGGUUGAUCGCGUCGGAAGUGUAAUCUUGGGGCUUAACCCUGAGCGUGCUUUCGAUACGGGUUGACUUGAGGAAGGUAGGGGAGAAUGGAAUUCCUGGUGGAGCGGUGGAAUGCGCAGAUAUCAGGAGGAACACCAGUGGCGAAGGCGGUUCUCUGGGCCUUUCCUGACGCUGAGGAGCGAAAGCGUGGGGAGCGAACGGGCUUAGAUACCCUGGUAGUCCACGCUGUAAACGGUGGGUACUAGGUGUGGGGUCCAUUCCACGGGUUCCGUGCCGUAGCUAACGCUUUAAGUACCCCGCCUGGGGAGUACGGCCGCAAGGCUAAAACUCAAAGGAAUUGACGGGGCCCCGCACAAGCGGCGGAGCAUGCGGAUUAAUUCGAUGCAACGCGUAGAACCUUACCUGGGUUUGACAUGGAUCGGGAGUGCUCAGAGAUGGGUGUGCCUCUUUUGGGGUCGGUUCACAGGUGGUGCAUGGCUGUCGUCAGCUCGUGUCGUGAGAUGUUGGGUUAAGUCCCGCAACGAGCGCAACCCUUGUUCACUGUUGCCAGCACGUUAUGGUGGGGACUCAGUGGAGACCGCCGGGGUCAACUCGGAGGAAGGUGGGGAUGACGUCAAGUCAUCAUGCCCCUUAUGUCCAGGGCUUCACGCAUGCUACAAUGGCUGGUACAGAGAGUGGCGAGCCUGUGAGGGUGAGCGAAUCUCGGAAAGCCGGUCUCAGUUCGGAUUGGGGUCUGCAACUCGACCUCAUGAAGUCGGAGUCGCUAGUAAUCGCAGAUCAGCAACGCUGCGGUGAAUACGUUCCCGGG